UCUCGGCUCUUGCAUCGAUGAAGAACGUAGCGAAAUGCGAUACUUGGUGUGAAUUGCAGAAUCUCGUGAACCAUUGAGUCUUUGAACGCAAGUUGUGCCCGAGGCCUUGUGGCCGAGGGCACGCCUGCUUGGGCGUCAUGGCAUCGUCGCCUUUGCUCCUUGCUU
RNAcentral lists this ribosomal RNA (165 nucleotides) under Alpinia aff. melichroa KH-2018. RNAcentral's name for it is "5.8S ribosomal RNA". The stretch from base 1 to 138 matches the Rfam family "5.8S ribosomal RNA", at positions 19 to 154 of the family's 154-position model. From Rfam's summary of the family: 5.8S ribosomal RNA (5.8S rRNA) is a component of the large subunit of the eukaryotic ribosome. It is transcribed by RNA polymerase I as part of the 45S precursor that also contains 18S and 28S rRNA. Functionally, it is thought that 5.8S rRNA may be involved in ribosome translocation. Lineage: Eukaryota; Viridiplantae; Streptophyta; Magnoliopsida; Zingiberales; Zingiberaceae. The record is from RNAcentral.